GGCUCUUGCAUCUUACCACUGCUGUGAGAACAUGGCUGGACAGCCUUCUGAAGGAUGAGAGGCACACGGAGCAGAGCCAAGUUUCUCCCGUCACCCCAUCCAAAUUCAACUACAUCAGCCAAGGUCAGCCAACAUCAGCCAGCAAUGAUGGAACCCCCCAGACAUGUAAGUGAAUCCAACCAAGAGCAGCAGGGCUGCCUAGCCAACCUACAGCUGACCCCAGAGGAGUGAGCAAUAAAUGUGUUCUGACGUUAGCCAGUGAGGUUCUCUGGGUUUUGUUAGGCAGUUUUAUUGUAGGAAUAGGUAACUAAUUCAGGCCCUAUCAGAACAAACAGUCUGGGUCUAUCUGGGAAGACUUCCUGGAGGAGGUAAAGCAAAUUGUUUUGUUGUUGUUGUUGUUGUUAAGUAAGUAUUUUAUUUUACCUAUUUUUUAAUUUUUUUUAUUUCCAUAGGUUAUUAGGGAACACGUUGGUGUUUAGUUACAUGAGUAAGUUCUUUAGUGGUGAUUUGUGAGAUUUUGGUGUACCCAUCACCCAAGCAGUAUAUACUGCACCCAGUUUGUAGUCUUUUAUCCCUCACCCCCUUUCCAAACUUUCCCCCUGAGUCCCCAAAGCCCAUUGUGUCAUUCUUAUGCCUUUGCCUCCCUAUAGCUUAGCUCCCACUUGAGUUUUAAUAGUGAGUGUGAAGUGGCCAGAGGGAUAACAAUGGGAGGGCAAAAGAGAAGGAUGUACAAAAGUCCAUAGGCUUGAGAGAACUUAGUUCAGGAAGCUGGGACCAUUGCUCAGUGUGGCCAGAACCAAGGGUGGUCCCUGGAGGGGGAUGGGAUGGAGAGAGAAACCUGCCCCCAUCCUGAGGGUCUUGAAUGCGAGGCUAAGGCAUUUUUAGAAAAUAGGGAGCCAUGGCAGGUUUUCAGUGAGGCUGGCCUUCUAGAAUGAUCAUCACAUGGCCAGGGCAGAGGGUGGAUUAGAGCCAGCAAGAGUUGAAGUUGAGGCUACAGUGCAGGUGAGUGAGAAUGAUGGCCUAGACCCUGGCUGGGAUGGAGACCCCGUGAGAGCCAUUUGAGGGACAAUGACCCCACAGCGGGUCCAGGUGGCUGGUGCCGCCUUUACAGAAUAUUCCCCCAUUCCCGCCUUGUCUCAACUGGGUCGUGGAACUCGUGGCCUGGGUCAAACAUACCCCUCACUGUGGCCAAUUAAUUUCACCUGGCCAUCAAUUUGUAAAGAUUUACUAAUCAGUAAGAGCUGGGCAAUAUCAUGUAAGGCUCCAAGUGCAGAGGGUGCAAUGAACUGCACGGGAUGCUUGCAAGGUUAUUGUAUUGAUAAGAACCCUGAUUUACCUCCUGUGUUAUUGUGCGUUACCUGUGACUAAAUGCAUCCUUUCAUAAUCAAUCCACAUUUAAUUACCAUUACAGAUUGAUUAAACGGGAAGGAUGCACUCGGGUGGCAUAAAGGAGGAGGUUUGUAUGAAGGUGCAGUCGACAUCAAUGAAUGGGGCUUCAGCUUCCCACUUGCUGCUCUAUUAACUCCGGCAAGCUUUGCAGGAUCUUUGUAGCCAGGAGAGGGUUGCAAGUUACUGGACUGCUACCUUCUAGCUAUGUCUGUGGCUUCAGGCAAUUCACAAAACCUCUGUGGGUUGCAGUUUCCUCUUCCUUAAAACGAGGGUAGUAAUAUCAACAGCAAAAAAGCAUGAGCUAGUUCUUUCCUUUCAGACCCGCUGGGAGAUAGUCACCCUCCUACCUUGUCCCCACCCCAGCCUAAAGCCUCUGCAGACAAAGGGCUCUUCUCAGUCCCUGGGGCAAGAAAGAGGAACUCUAUUCCCUCUUCUGGGCUCCCUGUGGCCCAAUCACAAGUCGCACCUUGUAGAGAGUGCAGGACUAGUGCCCUGUAUCAAAAACCUGCCUGGAAGACUUAGCUCUUCUACAUAUAAAAGAAUCUCCAAAGAUUCAUCAUCAUCUAAUAUUUAUUCCAGAGACUGGAGCAUGCAGAUAAGGUGAGUGUGUGACGGCAGAAAUGCAGAAAAGGUGAGUGUGUGACCGCAGAAAUGCAGAAAGAAUUGACAGUGUCUAAGCCACAAAGUGCCACACUCACAUGGUGUAUUGUGGGUUUGGCUGGGGGACCGAGCAAGAGGAAAAAACCCACUCUAAGAUGAUGGCGUAUUCUGAUGGGAGUUUCUCCAGUGACAGAGGACACUUCUGAGAAUGGCAGCAUUUUAGAGCCUCACAGUCAUCAAAACCUAGAAUCUUAUAGUACUGAGUCUUAGAAUGUUGACUUUAAUAAGAUCUCAAAUUAUAAAACUGAGAGUCAAAUGUCAGAAUCACAGGAUUUCAGGAUUUCAGGGACCUCAACCAUAGUCUUGCCCAAACACCCGAACAGCAUCCAAGUCAUUCUAACAUGUGGGGGCGAAGCCCUCCAGGCAGAGGGAAGAGCAAGUGCAAAGGCCCUGAGGCAGGAGUGUGUGGGAUGUGUUUGAGGAAGAGAAAGACCUUGUUCGACCUCCAUGGGCUGCUAAGAGCCCGAGAUUUUGGGGCAUGUCAGGAAUAAGGAGAGGAUGCUCCCCACAGGGCUGGGCAAUUUGAGGGCAGGUGCCCAGUACACAGUGGGUGCUGAUUAAAAGCCUGCAACAUUCAGUUCAGGGCCCUACAUGGUCAGAGAGAUCCUGACAUUGGGAGAGAUGCCUGGGUGUGAGGAGCCUGACUGGGAGCCAGGUCGGGGAGGGUAGGGAAGGGUCCUGAGGUGUUUCCUUUUGGAGAAGAGAAGGGGGCGCCUUCCAGGGGCCGUUGGUGUAAGGUUUGGGCUGCACAUGGAGGCCCCAGGUGUGGCCCCAGAUCAUAAGGAGGUGGGUCUGGCCAAGUGGAUGGGAAGAUUGCCAAGUCACACAGACCCAAACUCAAGGCCAGGCAAGGUCAAGGACCCCUUGUGUGGCCCUGGGCUACAGGGGGCACCAAGAGAGUAGAGGACAGCCUGACAAAGGGGCUCGGGAUUGUUCAGGAUUUACUUCUGUGACACGUGAACAAGCUCAGAGAGUACCUGCCAGAGGCUGGGGCAAUGCCAGCAUCCUGGGGAUGCUUUUGAAGGACAGUGCUCAUCUAAAUGUGGACAUUCUGGGAGGCUUCAUUUUGGCCAGUAACCUCAGGGUCAUGCUGCAGAGAAACACCACGGGAGGCAGAGGUGGGAGGGCUAAGGGGUGGGGGAGCAUGGAGUCAGGAGAGGCUUUGGAGAGGCGAGGAGAGGGUCACCGAGGGACAUGUGUAUGUGGGCCUCUAGAGGAUUCAGAGAACACUAAUAAAUGUCCACUAACUAAGCACCUCGUCUACUGUGUGCCAGUUUAUGAAUGCAUCCACUUGCAACUUUUCAUACCUACUAUGUGUCUGGCCCCAUGCUGUGACUUGAAAAGACAGCUGGGAUUGAGACAGAUGUGGCCCAUACCUUCAUGGGGCUGUUGCUUGGGUGAAGUAGAUGGAGGCAAAAACCCUUCAAUAAACAAACAGUGAAACUGAUAGAAUGAGGUGUGUGCCACAAAGAAAACCAGAAAGGGCCAAUAUAGAACUUUGCCUCCUCACUGAAUCCUCCAAAGCAUCCUGUAUUUACAAGAUCCUAUUAUAAGCCCAUUUUACAGCUGAGAAAUCUGAGGCCCAGAGAGGUGAGUAACUUGUUCCACGCCCAUGGCUGGAAAGCAGCAGAGGCAGGAUCUAAGCCUGCAACCAGCAGACACAACAGACUGGCUGGUCAGCCCCACCUCACGCCUCUCCCUGAGGACAUGGUGUUGUCAGUGGUGUUGGGAACCCGCCAUCCACCAGGGGGACCACAGAGCAGGCGCUGCCCCGUGCUAAAGGGGCUUUAGAGUCAGCGGAACCUGGGUCUGAAUUCUGCCUCCUUCACUUGCUUGCUGUAUGAUUCUGAGUGUGUUUACGGCAUUUCCCUGUGUCUCAGUUUCCUCCUCUGUAAAACGGGAGUGAUGACCUCUAUCUUGGAGGGCUGUUGCAGGGAUCAAAUAUGAGAAAGAUGUAAAGUGUUUCUAGUCAGUGUUGAAAAUGCUUUUCAGACACAUGGGGCAGGAGUGUUAAAAGAUGUGCUUCAUGUAUUUGAAAAAGGCCUAUGUUCCCCCUCUCUCUGUCUCUCAUUGCUUUCAGAAGCUCUUUCCUUAACCACACACGGGGUGGAAAGAACGCCUUGUCCAGAAGCCGAAGGACACUGAGGCUCUAAACUCCUGCUGUGUGGGCUGCAGCAGGCCACUGCUCUUCUCUGACCCUCAGUUUCUUCAUCUGUAAAACUGGAACAUGAUGCCCCACUGGAAGGCUAUCGUGAGGGCUGGACACGGCGAUGUAAAUUGAGGGCCAAGCGUGGAGCCGGCAUAGAGUGGACACUAAAAUACACCAGGCUGUUUCAUUUGGCAAAAGGGGUUCAAUUCUGUCUUUUAAACUCAUGCACUUUGGCAUAUUUGGCUUCUAAAUAUGCAGUGAGGCAGGAAGAGCAAUGAGUCUGGAAGCCAGAGAUUCUCGUGCAUCCAUUCUCUCCUCUGUCUCAGCUUUGCAUUGUACCUUGGGUGAGCCAUUGCACCUCCCUGACCCUCUGUGUCUUCAUCUACCAGACAGAAAAAAUUACACUUACUCCUAAACCAUAAUGUUUGGCAAGACCCAGUGAACCUCACAAAGCACCCCCAAAAGGCAGGCAGGAUGAGGAGUUCUCCCUGUUGAGCUGUGUGAGCUGCCCAGAUUGAUAUGCCUAGAAGGCACCCCAUUUGGAAGUAAACACAGGCUCCAUUUAAGGAUGCACGGAAGGUUGGAACACUUUAUUCCUGAACACAUUUAUGUAAAAUUAAUUGCAUCACCUGUUCUCUGCAUCUUCUAAUUGCAAAACCAAUUAACUUUAAAAUGCUCAGCACAGUGUGGCCAAGGGAAGGGAAGGCAAAGACCAGGCUGGCUUUGCAAACUCUGUGCCAUUUGUAGUGGCCACAGUGGCCCUAGGAAGUCCCAGCCAUUCCCAUCUGCUGGCCGAGGAGGCCCUGUGGGAUGCUGGGAGACUCUAGGAGAUGAGCAAGACCCUCAGAGUCUGGGGCUGGAAACUUCCUAGCACAAGUGAGCUGAGUGGUCAUGGGCCAGGUGAUGGAGUGGACAUUCCCCAGUGGUGGCCAGAAUGACCCAAUAUCAACUGCCCCUCCACCCAGCACCCCCAUUCCCUUUACCCUGUAUUUUGUUCCCCUCUGCCAUUUUCACUGCCCGACUGGCUGUGUAGCUAUUUGUUUAUCAUGUUUCUCCUCAGUAAAAUGUUGACUCCACAAAGACAUGUCUAUUGCACCUCCUGCUGUGUGCCUGGGACCUAGAACAGUGCCUGGCACAUAGUAGGUGCUCAGACAAAUGAAUGAAUGAAUGAAUGAAUGAAUGAAUGAAUGAAUGAAUGAACUAAUGGACUUCAGCUCAUUGUGAGAUGGGAUUUUCACAGAAUUGAAAUGGUCCCUGGUGGGAUGAACCGUCUUAAGGCAAAGGGUGUUCACUCCACCCCUGCAGCCAUUUGCGAGCCGUUAGGUUGAGGGAACACAGGCACUGGCUGAGGGGAUAUAUUUGUUCUUAAAACCUUUUACCAGGCCCCACGUAUGCACCCCUUUCUGUCUGCUCUGCCCAGAGAUUUUAGGCUCCUCUCUCUCAGGGGAAGGGAGUGAUUUGGUAUCAAUCAACCUUGAGCUCAGCUCAUGUUUCUUAACUAGCUGGUUAACAGCUUACUUCUUUGUGACUCAACUUUCUCAUUUCCUGAGACUUUCAGGGCUGCAAAGAAUGGGGAGAAAAUAUGCUUUGUAAAGGAAAAAUGCACACACACAGCGUUCAUUGACUUCCCCCCGGUUUCCAGCGUCUGUGAAUGCACACGGUACCAGCUAACAGCCACCAGAAGGGGUCUGGCUGCAACCGAGAUUGUGCUGGGAAAGAGGCCCGGGCAGCAGUCUCCAGUAGCCAAAGCACCGGCAUGGCCAUAUUAAAGCAUUCGGUUCCAAGCCCCUCCAGGAGGGAGGUGUGGGCAACAAGGGGCAGCAGUGAGUGGGCAGGUGCGGAGAAUCGUGUACUAAUCCCCCCUCCUCCUUCCAGGAAGCCUCACUCCUCUGCUCGGGCUGCUGUACCACAUUUCAGAGACUAUCUUGAUCUCUCAACACAAGCAGCCGAUGAGAUAUUCACACAUUCAGGGUGGGGAGGAUGAGAUCCAGGUGGCCUUAUGUGAUUCCUUUUCAGUGUGUGAAUGGGCACAUUGGCCUGGAUAGAGAGCCUGCCAGCCCCGCUGCUGGUUCUCUGCAAGGCCUAGAUUUGGCACAGGAGAUGCAGGUACUAUGAGUUCGGGG
This 6321-nucleotide long non-coding RNA is filed under the name Homo sapiens (human). RNAcentral describes it as "non-protein coding lnc-MATN1-6:1". The record is from RNAcentral. Lineage: Eukaryota; Metazoa; Chordata; Mammalia; Primates; Hominidae.